GCCCCCGUAGCUCAAUGGAUAGAGUGGAUCCGUCCUAAGGAUACGAUAGAGGUUCGAUUCCUCUCGGGGGUACCA
Molecule: transfer RNA, 75 nt
Filed under: Candidatus Saccharimonadota bacterium
Lineage: Bacteria; Candidatus Saccharimonadota
Also listed under: 1 other name
Description: tRNA-Arg
Rfam family: tRNA
About the family: Transfer RNA (tRNA) molecules are approximately 80 nucleotides in length. Their secondary structure includes four short double-helical elements and three loops (D, anti-codon, and T loops).
Source: RNAcentral